UCAUUGUUUGGUUCUUGCAUGUGCAGU
RNAcentral lists this non-coding RNA (27 nucleotides) under Mus musculus (house mouse). The record is from RNAcentral. Lineage: Eukaryota; Metazoa; Chordata; Mammalia; Rodentia; Muridae.